GGGAUGGAGAUAUCUCUCUCUCUCUCUCUCUCUCUCUCUCUCUCUCUCUCUCUCUCUAUAUAUAUAUAUAUAUAUAUAUGUUUAUAUAUAUAUUUAUAUUUAUAUAUAUAUUUAUAUUUAUAUGUAUAUGUUUAUAUAUAUAUUUAUAUAUAUAUAUAUAUAUAUAUAUAUAUAGAGAGAGAGAGAGAGAGAGAGAGAGAGAGAGAGAGGUGGAUAUGGGCG
This 222-nucleotide microRNA precursor is filed under the name Marmota monax (woodchuck). The record is from RNAcentral. Lineage: Eukaryota; Metazoa; Chordata; Mammalia; Rodentia; Sciuridae.